RNAcentral lists this ribosomal RNA (484 nucleotides) under uncultured bacterium. RNAcentral's name for it is "partial 16S ribosomal RNA". It matches the Rfam family "Bacterial small subunit ribosomal RNA", at positions 28 to 523 of the family's 1533-position model. The record is from RNAcentral.
GAUGAACGCUGGCGGCGUGCUUAACACAUGCAAGUCGAACGGUGAAGCAGGAGCUUGCUCUUGUGGAUCAGUGGCGAACGGGUGAGUAACACGUGAGCAACCUGCCCCUGACUCUGGGAUAAGCGCUGGAAACGGCGUCUAAUACUGGAUAUGUGAUGUGACCGCAUGGUCUGCAUCUGGAAAGAAUUUCGGUUGGGGAUGGGCUCGCGGCCUAUCAGCUUGUUGGUGAGGUAAUGGCUCACCAAGGCGUCGACGGUUAGCCGGCCUGCGAGGGUGACCGGCCACACUGGGACUGAGACACGGCCCAGACUCCUACGGGAGGCAGCAGUGGGGAAUAUUGCACAAUGGGCGGAAGCCUGAUGCAGCAACGCCGCGUGAGGGAUGACGGCCUUCGGGUUGUAAACCUCUUUUGGCAGGGAAGAAGCGAAAGUGACGGUACCUGCAGAAAAAGCACCGGCUAACUACGUGCCAGCCGCCGCAGUAA